CAGUAGCCACGGUAAUACGGAGGGAGCUAGCGUUGUUCGGAAUUACUGGGCGUAAAGCGCACGUAGGCGGCUUUGUAAGUUAGAGGUGAAAGCCUGGAGCUCAACUCCAGAAUUGCCUUUAAGACUGCAUCGCUUGAAUCCAGGAGAGGUGAGUGGAAUUCCGAGUGUAGAGGUGAAAUUCGUAGAUAUUCGGAAGAACACCAGUGGCGAAGGCGGCUCACUGGACUGGUAUUGACGCUGAGGUGCGAAAGCGUGGGGAGCAAACAGGAUUAGAUACCCGAGUAGUCACUGUCUCUUAUAU
This 301-nucleotide ribosomal RNA is filed under the name uncultured bacterium. RNAcentral's name for it is "partial 16S ribosomal RNA". It matches the Rfam family "Bacterial small subunit ribosomal RNA", at positions 509 to 809 of the family's 1533-position model. The record is from RNAcentral.